AUACCUGGAUGUCCUUUUAUAAUAUAUAUCUAUGUAUCUUUAGUACCUUGGUCUCCCCUGAUUAUGUUGGAGAGUGUGGUUUUGGUUUUGAGGAAGUAACUUAAACAUAUCGAGAACUUGUAGUAGUAGAUUGAACCUAAGCUAUUCUACAUUGUUUUGGCAUGAUACUUAGUAUUCUUGUUUGAAAUAACAGGAGGAAGGAUGUUGUAUCUUUCUUGGGUAAGUUGGCCAAUGAAGGGAAGGAUGUUGUAUCUUUUUUGGGUAAAACCUCGGAAGUACAGCAUAUACAGAGAGAGGCUGUCGUGGCAAUUUCUGCAUAAGUUAUGCAAAUGAGAGGUUGCAACGACAUUUCAACUGGCAUCUGUUAAAACUGGAGCAGGAAGUGAGCAUCACACAUGGACCGUAUCUUUAGUAGUUUUGUUUAGUAUUUAUAUGCUGGGGAUUGUCGCUAAAAGCAUGAUAUUCUUUUUUGAUUCAUUUUUGUCGUCAUUAUUUAUUAUGCAAGAUUAUUUAUUCUCUCAUUAUGUGUACUAUAAAAAAAAAUAUUUAUGUCAUUCUUGUGGAAAACGUUGAUAAAUGUAUUUCAUUUUCAUAUUAUUAUAAUAUUUUGACAUUAA
Long non-coding RNA from Syzygium oleosum, 617 nucleotides. RefSeq lists it as uncharacterized. Lineage: Eukaryota; Viridiplantae; Streptophyta; Magnoliopsida; Myrtales; Myrtaceae. The record is from RefSeq and is a predicted model, not a curated record. The transcript has 2 exons.